RNAcentral lists this long non-coding RNA (1057 nucleotides) under Sarcophilus harrisii (Tasmanian devil). RNAcentral describes it as "lncRNA (ENSSHAG00000024392.1)". Lineage: Eukaryota; Metazoa; Chordata; Mammalia; Dasyuromorphia; Dasyuridae. The record is from RNAcentral.
GAUUGCCACCACCCUUGUGGCCCUCCUCCCAGGGGCUGACUACUUUAGUUGCUGCUCAGAGACUGGGAGUCCAGACUGCACUGGGAAGGGCAGUGAGAGCAGAGCAAAAGCUCAGGAUCAAGAUCCAAACCAGAGUGUAUCAUCUAUCCUCAACUGGUAUUGGAGAAGGUGGGAAGCUUCCCUGUACUCCUGCCUUCAGAACAGCAUCCAUAAACUUCUAAGAAAGAAAUAGCAUCCAUUCCAAGCAAUAAAAGGAGCUUUACAGCUUCAGUGUAUAUUUCUUUUUUGCUCACUGACAGGAGGUAAAGGACAGACAGUUGCCCGGGAAGGUUCCCUCAAGUUUCCUUCUGAUUCAUCUUGAACAUGGAGAGAUCCACGAGGGAACUGUUUCUCAACUUUACUGUGGUCCUAAUAACUGUGAUCCUCAUAUGGCUGCUAGUGAGAUCAUAUCAAUACUAAGAAGUUGAAGCUGGAGAUCCUGCCCUUGAUGAGCACAGAGGAAUCCUUAAGAACAUGGGAGCUUUCCUGGGCUGCAGUAUGCCUAGGGAUGCCUUUGCCUGCAAUUACCUAUGUUUGGAUGUAGCUAGGGUAGGAUGAGGGUUUUAUCUUUGCAGAAUCAUCUCUGUCCUGUGCCAAAUCUGUGUUUUAGGGCUUUGAGUCUGUGAUCCCAUGCUUCUAUGAUAUGUGGCAAUGUGAUUUUAUGUUUUUCCAAAAUUUCUUCGGCAAAAGUUGCUUUCAAGUGAGCAUUGGAUAUGUUAUCUGACACUAUAGAUAUUAAUAAUAAAAAAAAUCACUUGUUUGAAAUGGGGAUCUUUGUGAAACAGGAUUGUACAAUGUGCCCUCUCCAUCCCUCCACAGCUCCCUAUUUGUCAGCCCCUCUGCCAGCCUCUAUCCCCAUUGUUGUUUCAAGAGUAAAUUAAAAAUCAGCUCUUUGGUAGAAAAUGUGAUGUAAUUAGUCACUAUGGCUGUCAUUUAAAUAAAAAAAUUUAAACCUCAAAAAACAUCAUUUGGAAUUCUCUUUCCUCUCUACUAACAUCAUCUCUUUUGACUACAACCU